This 1355-nucleotide ribosomal RNA is filed under the name uncultured bacterium. RNAcentral describes it as "bacterial SSU rRNA". It matches the Rfam family "Bacterial small subunit ribosomal RNA", at positions 28 to 1381 of the family's 1533-position model. The record is from RNAcentral.
AUUGAACGCUGGCGGCAGGCUUAACACAUGCAAGUCGAACGAUGAUUAUCUAGCUUGCUAGAUAUGAUUAGUGGCGGACGGGUGAGUAACAUUUAGGAAUCUGCCUAGUAGUGGGGGAUAGCUCGGGGAAACUCGAAUUAAUACCGCAUACGACCUACGGGUGAAAGGGGGCGCAAGCUCUUGCUAUUAGAUGAGCCUAAAUCAGAUUAGCUAGUUGGUGGGGUAAAGGCCCACCAAGGCGACGAUCUGUAACUGGUCUGAGAGGAUGAUCAGUCACACCGGAACUGAGACACGGUCCGGACUCCUACGGGAGGCAGCAGUGGGGAAUAUUGGACAAUGGGGGCAACCCUGAUCCAGCCAUGCCGCGUGUGUGAAGAAGGCCUUUUGGUUGUAAAGCACUUUAAGCAGGGAGGAGAGGCUAAUGGUUAAUACCCAUUAGAUUAGACGUUACCUGCAGAAUAAGCACCGGCUAACUCUGUGCCAGCAGCCGCGGUAAUACAGAGGGUGCGAGCGUUAAUCGGAAUUACUGGGCGUAAAGCGAGUGUAGGUGGCUCAUUAAGUCACAUGUGAAAUCCCCGGGCUUAACCUGGGAACUGCAUGUGAUACUGGUGGUGCUAGAAUAUGUGAGAGGGAAGUAGAAUUCCAGGUGUAGCGGUGAAAUGCGUAGAGAUCUGGAGGAAUACCGAUGGCGAAGGCAGCUUCCUGGCAUAAUAUUGACACUGAGAUUCGAAAGCGUGGGUAGCAAACAGGAUUAGAUACCCUGGUAGUCCACGCCGUAAACGAUGUCUACUAGCCGUUGGGGUCCUUGAGACUUUAGUGGCGCAGUUAACGCGAUAAGUAGACCGCCUGGGGAGUACGGCCGCAAGGUUAAAACUCAAAUGAAUUGACGGGGGCCCGCACAAGCGGUGGAGCAUGUGGUUUAAUUCGAUGCAACGCGAAGAACCUUACCUGGUCUUGACAUAGUGAGAAUCCUGCAGAGAUGCGGGAGUGCCUUCGGGAAUUCACAUACAGGUGCUGCAUGGCUGUCGUCAGCUCGUGUCGUGAGAUGUUGGGUUAAGUCCCGCAACGAGCGCAACCCUUUUCCUUAUUUGCCAGCGGGUUAAGCCGGGAACUUUAAGGAUACUGCCAGUGACAAACUGGAGGAAGGCGGGGACGACGUCAAGUCAUCAUGGCCCUUACGACCAGGGCUACACACGUGCUACAAUGGUAGGUACAGAGGGUUGCUACACAGCGAUGUGAUGCUAAUCUCAAAAAGCCUAUCGUAGUCCGGAUUGGAGUCUGCAACUCGACUCCAUGAAGUCGGAAUCGCUAGUAAUCGCAGAUCAGAAUGCUGCGGUGAAUGCGUUCCCGGGCCU